Molecule: ribosomal RNA, 418 nt
Filed under: uncultured bacterium
Lineage: Bacteria
Description: bacterial SSU rRNA
Rfam family: Bacterial small subunit ribosomal RNA
Source: RNAcentral
GGACCCGCACAAGUAGUGGAGCAUGUGGUUUAAUUCGAAGAUACGCGCAGAACCUUACCAACACUUGACAUGUUCGUCGCGACUUUAAGAGAUUAAAGUUUUCGGUUCGGCCGGACGAAACACAGGUGCUGCAUGGCUGUCGUCAGCUCGUGUCGUGAGAUGUUGGGUUAAGUCCCGCAACGAGCGCAACCCUCACUUUUAGUUGCCAUCAUUUAGUUGGGCACUCUGAAAGAACUGCCAGUGAUAAGCUGGAGGAAGGUGGGGAUGACGUCAAGUCCUCAUGGCCCUUACGUGUUGGGCUACACACGUGCUACAAUGGUAUCUACAACAGGAAGCAAGACUGCGAGGUCAAGCAAAUCCUUAAAAGAUACCUCAGUUCGGAUUGCACUCUGCAACUCGAGUGCAUGAAGCUGGAAUU